RNAcentral lists this non-coding RNA (235 nucleotides) under Bacteroides stercoris. RNAcentral's name for it is "Bacterial large subunit ribosomal RNA". It matches the Rfam family "Bacterial large subunit ribosomal RNA", at positions 468 to 704 of the family's 2925-position model. Lineage: Bacteria; Pseudomonadati; Bacteroidota; Bacteroidia; Bacteroidales; Bacteroidaceae. The record is from Rfam by way of RNAcentral.
AAAUACUCCCGAGAGACCGAUAGUGAACCAGUACUGUGAAGGAAAGGUGAAAAGCACUUCGAACAGAAGAGUGAAAUAGUUCCUGAAACCAUGCGCCUACAAGCGGUCGGAGCUCUUAUGAGUGACGGCGUGCCUUUUGCAUAAUGAACCUACGAGUUACUUUUUCCGGCAAGGUUAAGGGUCUUGAGACCUGCAGCCGAAGCGAAAGCGAGUCUUAACAGGGCGUUCAGUCGGA